GAUGAACGCUGGCGGCGUGCCUAAUACAUGCAAGUCGAGCGAACGGACGAGAAGCUUGCUUCUCUGAUGUUAGCGGCGGACGGGUGAGUAACACGUGGAUAACCUACCUAUAAGACUGGGAUAACUUCGGGAAACCGGAGCUAAUACCGGAUAAUAUUUUGAACCGCAUGGUUCAAAAGUGAAAGACGGUCUUGCUGUCACUUAUAGAUGGAUCCGCGCUGCAUUAGCUAGUUGGUAAGGUAACGGCUUACCAAGGCAACGAUGCAUAGCCGACCUGAGAGGGUGAUCGGCCACACUGGAACUGAGACACGGUCCAGACUCCUACGGGAGGCAGCAGUAGGGAAUCUUCCGCAAUGGGCGAAAGCCUAACGGAGCAACGCCGCGUGAGUGAUGAAGGUCUUCGGAUCGUAAAACUCUGUUAUUAGGGAAGAACAUAUGUGUAAGUAACUGUGCACAUCUUGACGGUACCUAAUCAGAAAGCCACGGCUAACUACGUGCCAGCAGCCGCGGUAAUACGUAGGUGGCAAGCGUUAUCCGGAAUUAUUGGGCGUAAAGCGCGCGUAGGCGGUUUUUUAAGUCUGAUGUGAAAGCCCACGGCUCAACCGUGGAGGGUCAUUGGAAACUGGAAAACUUGAGUGCAGAAGAGGAAAGUGGAAUUCCAUGUGUAGCGGUGAAAUGCGCAGAGAUAUGGAGGAACACCAGUGGCGAAGGCGACUUUCUGGUCUGUAACUGACGCUGAUGUGCGAAAGCGUGGGGAUCAAACAGGAUUAGAUACCCUGGUAGUCCACGCCGUAAACGAUGAGUGCUAAGUGUUAGGGGGUUUCCGCCCCUUAGUGCUUCAGCUAACGCAUUAAGCACUCCGCCUGGGGAGUACGACCGCAAGGUUGAAACUCAAAGGAAUUGACGGGGACCCGCACAAGCGGUGGAGCAUGUGGUUUAAUUCGAAGCAACGCGAAGAACCUUACCAAAUCUUGACAUCCUUUGACAACUCUAGAGAUAGAGCCUUCCCCUUCGGGGGGGGCAAAGUGACAGGUGGUGCAUGGUUGUCGUCAGCUCGUGUCGUGAGAUGUUGGGUUAAGUCCCGCAACGAGCGCAACCCUUAAGCUUAGUUGCCAUCAUUAAGUUGGGCACUCUAAGUUGACUGCCGGUGGCAAACCGGAGGAAGGUGGGGAUGACGUCAAAUCAUCAUGCCCCUUAUGAUUUGGGCUACACACGUGCUACAAUGGACAAUACAAAGGGCAGCGAAACCGCGAGGUCAAGCAAAUCCCAUAAAGUUGUUCUCAGUUCGGAUUGUAGUCUGCAACUCGACUACAUGAAGCUGGAAUCGCUAGUAAUCGUAGAUCAGCAUGCUACGGUGAAUACGUUCCCGGGUCU
Molecule: ribosomal RNA, 1374 nt
Filed under: uncultured bacterium
Lineage: Bacteria
Description: bacterial SSU rRNA
Rfam family: Bacterial small subunit ribosomal RNA
Source: RNAcentral